AACGGAUAUCUCGGCUCUCGCAUCGAUGAAGAACGUAGCGAAAUGCGAUACCUGGUGUGAAUUGCAGAAUCCCGCGAACCAUCGAGUCUUUGAACGCAAGUUGCGCCCGAGGCCAUCCGGCCGAGGGCACGCCUGCCUGGGCGUCACGCCAAAAGACGCUCCCC
RNAcentral lists this ribosomal RNA (164 nucleotides) under Otatea acuminata. Its description in RNAcentral is "5.8S ribosomal RNA". The stretch from base 1 to 146 matches the Rfam family "5.8S ribosomal RNA". From Rfam's summary of the family: 5.8S ribosomal RNA (5.8S rRNA) is a component of the large subunit of the eukaryotic ribosome. It is transcribed by RNA polymerase I as part of the 45S precursor that also contains 18S and 28S rRNA. Functionally, it is thought that 5.8S rRNA may be involved in ribosome translocation. Lineage: Eukaryota; Viridiplantae; Streptophyta; Magnoliopsida; Poales; Poaceae. The record is from RNAcentral. RNAcentral also lists the same sequence under 7 other names.